RNAcentral lists this ribosomal RNA (233 nucleotides) under uncultured bacterium. Its description in RNAcentral is "partial 16S ribosomal RNA". It matches the Rfam family "Bacterial small subunit ribosomal RNA", at positions 28 to 263 of the family's 1533-position model. The record is from RNAcentral.
GACGAACGCUGGCGGCGUGCUUAACACAUGCAAGUCGAGCGGUAAGGCCCUUUCGGGGUACGACGAGCGGCGAACGGGUGAGUAACACGUGGGUGACCUGCCUUCAGCUCUGGGAUAAGCCUGGGAAACUGGGUCUAAUACCGGAUAUGACUCCAUGAUGCAUGUUGUGGGGUGGAAAGCUUUUGCGGCUGGAGAUGGGCCCGCGGCCUAUCAGCUUGUUGGUGGGGUGANGG